AUGGCUUCUUCCGGUUCCGUGAUGAGGCCACCGUGUGCUAACCCUGAGGACAUGCCGGACAAGUGGACAGACGCCGAGUUGGAUAAGGUGAAGGACAAAGAUAUGAGAACUCCAUCAUGUUGGUGUGGAGAUGUUUGCAAUGUUAAGGUAUCCACCGACCGCAAGAAAUCAUGGACGGAAGGAAGAAGAUAUUUUGUUUGUCCCAACUAUGCCUACGAUCGUCCUCGUCCAGCUCACGUCUAUGAUGUACCGCCGGUAAGUUGUUCAAGUUCAAAAAUGUCGUCAACCAUUGAAUCUAUCUUACUAAUGACCACAUUUGUUCUUUAUUCGUACGUAGUCGCCGCCUCCACUUUGUAA
Molecule: ribosomal RNA, 357 nt
Filed under: Triticum aestivum (bread wheat)
Lineage: Eukaryota; Viridiplantae; Streptophyta; Magnoliopsida; Poales; Poaceae
Description: partial small subunit ribosomal RNA
Source: RNAcentral